CGUGCUCCUCGGCAGCCGUUGCUCGGCCGGUUUUGGUAGGCCCGGGCCGCCGCCAGGCCUCCGCCUGAGCCCGCAGCCGCCAUGGACAACUACGCAGAUCUUUCGGAUACCGAGCUGACCACCUUGCUGCGCCGGUACAACAUCCCGCACGGGCCUGUAGUAGACUUGAAUUCUACUAGAGGGGAUGCAGAUAUGUAUGAUCUUCCCAAGAAAGAGGACGCUUUACUCUACCAGAGCAAGGGUAAGGCAGGGGUUGGGUGGGCACGCUGGCACCUUCACCCGACUGCGUCAGGGACCCCGCUCACCGGGAGGACCUGAGACCUCAGUCCCAACCACUCCAGCAGCCUUAGGAGGGAGAAACUGUUACAGGUCCCGAAGUGGGAUUCAGAUUAGGGCCAUCGGGCCAGGCGGGGCACACCGAUGCCCCCUCUGCUACCGCUGCCCCCCUUCCCAAGGCUACAAUGACGACUACUAUGAAGAGAGCUACUUCACCACCAGGACUUAUGGGGAGCCCGAGUCUGCGGGCCCGUCCAGGGCUGUCCGCCAGUCAGUGACUUCAUUCCCAGAUGCUGACGCUUUCCAUCGCCAGGUGCGUGAUGACGAUCUUUUGUCUUCUUCUGAAGAGGAGUGCAAGGAUAGGUGCGUAGUGGGGGAGCCCAGGGACGGGCUGGUUCUGGGUCCAGGCUCCUGGCCCACUUGCUCCCCUCUUUUGCCUCAGGGAACGCCCCAUGUACGGCCGGGACAGUGCCUACCAGAGCAUCACGCACUACCGCCCUGUUUCAGCCUCCAGGA
RNAcentral lists this small RNA (792 nucleotides) under Pan troglodytes (chimpanzee). Its description in RNAcentral is "retained intron". The record is from RNAcentral. Lineage: Eukaryota; Metazoa; Chordata; Mammalia; Primates; Hominidae.